This 181-nucleotide long non-coding RNA is filed under the name Chinchilla lanigera (long-tailed chinchilla). RNAcentral's name for it is "lncRNA (ENSCLAG00000026087.1)". Lineage: Eukaryota; Metazoa; Chordata; Mammalia; Rodentia; Chinchillidae. The record is from RNAcentral.
AGACAGAAGAGUCAAUUUUUCUCCUUUUUCAUUUUAGGCGCUCCGUUUAAAGCUGACCACACAGGAGGUGCCAUGAAAAUGGGGACUCACCUGUCUUUUUGACAGCAGAGCCACUGGCACUGACCUCAGUCUCUAAUUUAUAGCUGCUGUUGAAUAAACACACACUGAAUGAGUCAACAAA